AAUAUACUCCCUCCGUCCCAAAAUAAGUGUCUCAAGUUUGCAAAGUUGUACUAAAGUUGAGACACUUAUUUUGGGACGGAGGGAGUAUAUA
Non-coding RNA from Triticum aestivum (bread wheat), 91 nucleotides. Lineage: Eukaryota; Viridiplantae; Streptophyta; Magnoliopsida; Poales; Poaceae. The record is from Rfam.